This 492-nucleotide ribosomal RNA is filed under the name uncultured bacterium. Its description in RNAcentral is "partial 16S ribosomal RNA". It matches the Rfam family "Bacterial small subunit ribosomal RNA", at positions 29 to 507 of the family's 1533-position model. The record is from RNAcentral.
AGUGAACGCUGGCGGUAUGCCUAAUACAUGCAAGUCGAACGGCAGCACAGGAAGAUCUUGCUCUUACGGGUGGCGAGUGGCGGACGGGUGAGGAAUACAUCGGAAUCUACUUUGUCGUGGGUGAUUACGUAGGGAAGCUGACGCUAAUACCGCAUACGACCUACGGGUGAAAGCAGGGGUUCUUCGGAGCUUUCCCGACUGAAUGAGCCGAUGUCGGAUUAGCUAGUUGGUGGGGUAAGGGCCCACCAAGGCAACGAUCCGUAGCUGGUCUGAGAGGAUGAUCAGCCACACUGGAACUGAGACACGGUCCAGACUCCUACGGGAGGCAGCAGUGGGGAAUAUUGGACAAUGGGCGAAAGCCUGAUCCAGCCAUACCGCGUGGGUGAAGAAGGCCUUCGGGUUGUAAAGCCCUUUUGUUGGGAAAGAAAAGCAGCAGAUUAAUACCCCGCUGUUCUGACGGUACCCAAAGAGAAAGCACCGGCUAACUUCGUG